Molecule: ribosomal RNA, 540 nt
Filed under: uncultured bacterium
Lineage: Bacteria
Description: bacterial SSU rRNA
Rfam family: Bacterial small subunit ribosomal RNA
Source: RNAcentral
AGAGUUUGAUCAUGGCUCAGAAUCAACGCUGGCGGCGUGCCUCAGACAUGCAAGUCGAACGCGAAAGCUCCCUUCGGGGAGCAAGUAGAGUGGCGCAAGGGUGCGUAACACGUGGGCAAUCUGCCGUGAAGUUUGGGACAACUUGCUGAAAGGCGAGCUAAUACCGGAUGUGAAAAUUGAAAGGCAUCUUUUGAUUUUCAAAGUUGGGGACCGUAAGGCCUGACGCUUCAUGAUGAGCCCGCGGCCUAUCAGCUAGUUGGUGAGGUAACGGCUCACCAAGGCUAAGACGGGUAGCUGGUCUGAGAGGACGACCAGCCACACUGGAACUGAGACACGGUCCAGACGCCUACGGGUGGCAGCAGUCGAGAAUUUUUCACAAUGGGCGAAAGCCUGAUGGAGCGACGCCGCGUGGGGGAUGAAUGGCUUCGGCCCGUAAACCCCUGUCAUUUGCGAUCAAACGUUAUUAUUUAAAAGAUGAUGACCUGAUAGUAGCGAAAGAGGAAGGGACGGCUAACUCUGUGCCAGCAGCCGCGGUAAUAC